Molecule: non-coding RNA, 1000 nt
Organism: Rattus norvegicus (Norway rat)
Lineage: Eukaryota; Metazoa; Chordata; Mammalia; Rodentia; Muridae
Source: RefSeq, a predicted model, not a curated record
GCUGUAGGAGGCAGGCAGGAAGGCCGUCAACGUGCCUGUGACGUCAGAACCACGCUGCCCCACCCCCACACACCAGCUCGCUCACCCACCAGACUAGACAAACCUAUUAUCCCACUGUGCUUCAGCAAAGCCCACCUAGGCUCCCAGGCACAGAGUGUUUCAAGGCUGACCUGACAUGGAAGUGGAAAGAAUUAUUGGGGGAUGGGAGACAUGUGGAAGGAAGGUGGCAGUAGGAAGACAGCCAUACGGAGGAGUUAACUCCAGGACGUAAGGUGCCCAGAGGCCCGUAGGACCCUUGGAAAUAGAGCUCACCUCAGGCAUGCACCAGGAGCAAGGAGGCUGCGAUGGCGAACCUCCAGCUCCCAUUGGUUGUUCUGGGACAGUCUGUAGUUGGAAGAGUGACGGUGUGCAAACUGAACCGUGUGUGUUGGAAAAUAUGAGUGUCUGGGAUCCAAACAGAACACAGACUCUGCAGUCCCUCAUUCGCCUGAGGUAUCCAACAGUCCCGGUGGCGAAGACCGAUAUUGCCGCGAGUGUGCUACCUCCAAGUCAAUGGUGAUGCUAUCUCAUUACUCCUCGCACAAACCCAAGUGGGCUAGAAACCCCCCUGCGCACCGCCCCCAGCUCACAGGAGGAAAACAGACUCUAGGAGUUAGUUGGAGGGAAUACAGAUCGUACCACACCACCACCUCGGUGGAAGGACAUUGGUUGCAGAUUUACAACCUGGACAGAUGGAAGUCAUGGCCAAUUCUAGUUCACCAGUAUUAAAUACAUUUCAGCACUCGUGGGCAGAAUCAAUCGUGUACUGGCAGCAUACAGAGGUAUUGCCACAUUGGUCUUACUCUUUAAGAUAAGGACAGAAACACUUCAACUCUGAAAGCAACAUAUGUGAAUUCUGGAAUGUCUGACCACAUCUGUCAAGUCAAAUGCCUGGAGAAGUGGAUGUCCAUUCAUCAUGUAAUGCUCAAUUUGUGCAAAAAAAUAUGAACCUGGGAAAAUA